Coccinella septempunctata (seven-spotted ladybird) is the source of this 332-nucleotide long non-coding RNA. RefSeq lists it as uncharacterized. The record is from RefSeq and is a predicted model, not a curated record. Lineage: Eukaryota; Metazoa; Arthropoda; Insecta; Coleoptera; Coccinellidae. The transcript has 2 exons.
UUUCACGGACAUCGAGUCGUUCUUCAAGAUUAUACCCAGAGAAAUAUUUCCUGCGGAUUAUGGUGGAGACGUAGAUCGUGUAGAGGUUUUGGCAGAAAGAAAUAGGAGGAUGUUCGAGGAAUGCGCUGAAUUUUUCGAGGCUCAAGAGGGACAGUUAACCGACGAAUCUAGAAGGGUUGAACAGUCACGAGAUUUCAACAAUGCGUUUGGCGUGGAGGGGACUUUUAGGAAGCUGCAGCUCGACUGAAAUGGAUAAUUUGCCUUGUGAAGAAGAUAGAAUAAAAAUUGCCCAUGAAAUGUAAUCAGAAGAGCAAUAAAAUUUUGCAUCAGAA